ACGGAAGGCAGCAGUGGGGAAUAUUGGGCAAUGGGCGCAAGCCUGACCCAGCAAUGCCGCGUGAAGGAAGAAGGCUUUCGGGUUGUAAACUUCUUUUAAGUGGGACGAUAAUGACGGUACCACUUGAAUAAGCUCCGGCUAACUACGUGCCAGCAGCCGCGGUAAUACGUAGGGAGCAAGCGUUAUCCGGAUUUACUGGGUGUAAAGGGCGUGUAGCCGGGGGAGCAAGUCAGAUGUGAAAUCUAUGGGCUUAACCCAUAAACUGCAUUUGAAACUGUUCUUCUUGAGUGCUGGAGGGGCAAUCGGAAUUCCUUGUGUAGCGGUGAAAUGCGUAGAUAUAAGGAGGAACACCAGUGGCGAAGGCGGAUUGCUGGACAGUAACUGACGGUGAGGCGCGAAAGUGUGGGGAGCAAACAGGAUUAGAUACCCUGGUA
Molecule: ribosomal RNA, 434 nt
Filed under: uncultured Oscillibacter sp.
Lineage: Bacteria; Bacillati; Bacillota; Clostridia; Eubacteriales; Oscillospiraceae
Description: bacterial SSU rRNA
Rfam family: Bacterial small subunit ribosomal RNA
Source: RNAcentral